Molecule: ribosomal RNA, 255 nt
Filed under: uncultured bacterium
Lineage: Bacteria
Description: partial 16S ribosomal RNA
Rfam family: Bacterial small subunit ribosomal RNA
Source: RNAcentral
UACGUAGGCAGCGAGCGUUGUCCGGAUUUACUGGGCGUAAAGGGCGCGUAGGCGGCGUGACAAGUCACUUGUGAAAUCUCCGGGCUUAACUCGGAACGGUCAAGUGAUACUGUCGGACUAGAGUACAGAAGGGGGCAACUGGAAUUCUCGGUGUAGCGGUGAAAUGCGUAGAUAUCGAGAGGAACACCUGCGGCGAAAGCGGGUUGCUGGGCUGAUACUGACGCUGAGGCGCGAAAGCCAGGGGGAGCGAACGGG